GCCAACUUGACUCAAAGAAUGCUUGAGUCUGCGAAUUUAUUCCAGAUGACCCCGUCCUGUACUCCAGUCUUUGAGGGGUCUGAACCUCUCAGACCGCAACAACUUCACCCUGUUUGCCUCAGUUUCCUCAUCUGUGAAAUGAGCUGGAAAAGGAAAGAGCAAAGCGCUUCAGUAUCUUUGCCAAGAAAACCCCAAGUGGGGUCACAAAGAGUCAGACCUGAUGGAAAAACAACUGAUCAACUGAACAACAUUUGUGUAGAAAUCCUAGAUGACAGUAAACGAAGGGCUAUGGGAGAUGUGACAGACCAGUGCCUGGUCUCCUGGGGGCCCUGUCACCGCCUACUCUGAUGAUCCUGGAGUCUUUGCUGCCGCGUGCUGCUGCUACUCACUCGGCCAGGGCCAAGGGUUGUCCCCCUUUCUGGGAUGAGGCCUAGCAAUGUCUCCUAGUGCUGACUGAAUAUUGACAGGAGUGCUGGACCCCUUUGCCAGGGCUUAGCGAUGCCCUCCUAUGCCAAGGAUUGAGUGCUCUCCUUCUAGGAUAAGGUGAAGGCAUUGCCUCUGGCAUUGCUGUUGCUGGGGUCCAUGUUCUACCCCUCUAUGCCAGGCCAACCAUCCCCAAGGGUGCUGCCACUAUCCCUUUGUCCUUAGCCAUCCUGGGCUCCACUCUUCAAGGGCACCUCACUGACUUCCUCGUGGGAAGCCCUAAAAAGAGAGUUAUAGAGAGAGCAGCGUUCAUUCCCCAGCCCCAAUCCUCAACAUCUCUGUUCUGAUCAAGCAUUAUCCUUCCAUGUGCCUUACACCAAAGAGUUCCAAUGAAGUCCACAUUGUACAGUUCCCAUUGGGCUCCCGAAUGCCAUUUUAAAAGUCCUAAGUAGUUCUUUUGGAGUAAUUCUUUUUUUAAAAAAUUAGUUUAUUUUGAAUUAUCAACAAUUACUUCCAUAAGCUUUUUAGUUUUAAAUCUUUUUCCCCCUCCCUGUCCACCUCCCUCCCCAAGACGGUGUG
This 1002-nucleotide long non-coding RNA is filed under the name Phascolarctos cinereus (koala). RNAcentral's name for it is "lncRNA (ENSPCIG00000032851.1)". The record is from RNAcentral. Lineage: Eukaryota; Metazoa; Chordata; Mammalia; Diprotodontia; Phascolarctidae.